AUAACUCCGAUUAAUCUGAUUUUUGGAUAUGUUAUACAUGGUAUGUAAGACUAUUUUUAAAAAAUAUGAAUUACCCAAUUCGGGUUCAUUUAGUAGCCCAAACAGUGCGUCAAAAGUGGACGUUCAUAACAGUUUUCAAUCUCGUUUCAGCUUUACCCUCUUCCGCUAAAACAGUCAUAACUCUUUCAUUUUAAAACAUUUUUGAGCGAUUCUUGAGCCCACGCGAAGCUAACUUCUGGGGCUACAACUUUUAUUCUUUGACCAUUUCCAAAUUCUGAACACAUCAGCCCAGAAAUUCCGUUCAAAUGGACUGCACCGCACUUGUUGGGAAGUUUUGACACUACUACUUUGAAAUGUCAUAACUCUCUCCUCCGAUAUCGGAUUUAGUCCGUUUCGGAGUCU
This 402-nucleotide long non-coding RNA is filed under the name Panax ginseng (ginseng). RNAcentral's name for it is "long non-coding RNA (PGIN_LNC000511)". Lineage: Eukaryota; Viridiplantae; Streptophyta; Magnoliopsida; Apiales; Araliaceae. The record is from RNAcentral.